This 182-nucleotide non-coding RNA is filed under the name bovine gut metagenome. RNAcentral's name for it is "Lysine riboswitch". It matches the Rfam family "Lysine riboswitch aptamer". Rfam says of the family: Riboswitches are metabolite binding domains within certain messenger RNAs that serve as precision sensors for their corresponding targets. Allosteric rearrangement of mRNA structure is mediated by ligand binding, and this results in modulation of gene expression. This family includes riboswitches that sense lysine in a number of genes involved in lysine metabolism, including lysC. The record is from RNAcentral.
GAGAUAGAGGCGCGCCCUGUCAAGAGUACCGCGCAGAAUGGCCGGCCGGAGGUGAAUCCCUGGGGAGGAUCCGGGCCGCGCGGGAAAGGGACGGGCGCCGAAGCGGACUGACUUUGGCAGGGAUGUCCGCUGGCCGUCGGGAGAAGAUCCCUCCGGCUGUCGCAGCAAUGCGGAGCGCUAUC